RNAcentral lists this unclassified non-coding RNA (223 nucleotides) under plant metagenome. RNAcentral's name for it is "partial contains small subunit ribosomal RNA and internal transcribed spacer 1". The stretch from base 1 to 46 matches the Rfam family "Eukaryotic small subunit ribosomal RNA", at positions 1786 to 1831 of the family's 1831-position model. The record is from RNAcentral.
AAGUCGUAACAAGGUUUCCGUUGGUGAACCAGCGGAAGGAUCAUUACAGAGAUCAUGCCCGCAAGGGUAGACCUCCCACCCUGUGUUAUUUACUAUUGUUGCUUCGGCAGGCCGCUCGCUGCUCAGUCUUGAGCAUGGUGCCCAGCUCCGGCUGGGAGAGCGUCUGUCAGAAGACCCCAGCUCUGUGUUUAGUGUCGUCUGAGUACUAUAAAAUAAGUUAAAA